RNAcentral lists this ribosomal RNA (253 nucleotides) under uncultured bacterium. Its description in RNAcentral is "partial 16S ribosomal RNA". It matches the Rfam family "Bacterial small subunit ribosomal RNA", at positions 524 to 776 of the family's 1533-position model. The record is from RNAcentral.
UACGUAGGGUGCAAGCGUUAAUCGGAAUUACUGGGCGUAAAGCGUGCGCAGGCGGUUAUGUAAGGCAGAUGUGAAAUCCCCGGGCUCAACCUGGGAACUGCAUUUGUGACUGCAUAGCUAGAGUACGGUAGAGGGGGAUGGAAUUCCGCGUGUAGCAGUGAAAUGCGUAGAUAUGCGGAGGAACACCGAUGGCGAAGGCGGCAUCCUGGACCGACAUUGACGCUGAUGAGCGAAAGCUAGGGGAGCAAACGGG